GUAAAGGGCAUGCAGGCGGUCGGGCAAGUAGGAUGUGAAAGCCCCGGGCUCAACCUGGGAACUGCAUUCUAAACUGUCCGACUAGAGUAUUGCAGGGGGAGACGGAAUUCCAGGUGUAGCGGUGGAAUGCGUAGAUAUCUGGAAGAACACCAAAGGCGAAGGCAGUCUCCUGGGCAAAUACUGACGCUCAUAUGCGAAAGCGUGGGUAGCAAACAGGAUUAGAUACCCUGGUAGUCCACGCCGUAAACGAUGUCAAUUAGGAGCUUGAGCAAAAGUUUGGGUUCCGAAGCAAACGCGAUAAAUUGACCGCCUGGGGAGUACGGCCGCAAGGUUAAAACUCAAAUGAAUUGACGGGGGCCCGCACAAGCGGUGGAGCAUGUGGUUUAAUUCGACGCAACGCGAAGAACCUUACCUGACCUUGACAUCGUAGGAGCCUCUCUGAAGGGAGAGGGUGCCUUCGGGAACCUACAGACAGGUGCUGCAUGGCUGUCGUCAGCUCGUGUCGUGAGAUGUUGGGUUAAGUCCCGCAACGAGCGCAACCCUUGUCCUUUGUUGCCAGCGGGUAAAGCCGGGAACUCAAAGGAGACUGCCAGUGACAAACUGGAGGAAGGCAGGGAUGACGUCAAGUCAUCAUGGCCCUUACGGUCAGGGCUACACACGUGCUACAAUGGGGCGUACAGAGGGAAACGAUACCGCGAGGUGGAGUAGAGCCCAGAAAGCGUCCCUAAGUUCGGGUUGGAGUCUGCAACUCGACUCCAUGAAGUCGGAAUCGCUA
Molecule: ribosomal RNA, 775 nt
Filed under: uncultured Pseudomonadota bacterium
Lineage: Bacteria; Pseudomonadati; Pseudomonadota
Description: bacterial SSU rRNA
Rfam family: Bacterial small subunit ribosomal RNA
Source: RNAcentral